GGGGAUUCUGGUGGUAGAGGGAUCACUGGUAAGCCAGGAAAGCCAGGAGUCAGGGGUGCCAAAGGUAAAGAGGGUCCGAACGGCCUUCUGGGAAAUCCUGGCCUGAAGGGAAACAGAGGUCAAGAAGGUUCGAAGGGGAAACGCGGAAGUCCAGGCGUGCAGGGAUUGACAGGGAUACAGGGAUACCGAGGAGCUCCUGGCAUAGCAGGCAAUAUAGGACCAUGGGGUGAGGUGGGCCUCCAAGGGCCACCAGGGGACAAGGGGCCCCCAGGAUUAGUUGGGCCCCGUGGAGUUGUAGGUUACCCAGGUAAAGAUGGACCACAGGGAGGUAUUGGGCCAUUGGCAGACAAUGGGGAUAAGG
Molecule: long non-coding RNA, 361 nt
Organism: Oncorhynchus nerka (sockeye salmon)
Lineage: Eukaryota; Metazoa; Chordata; Actinopteri; Salmoniformes; Salmonidae
Exons: 6
Source: RefSeq, a predicted model, not a curated record